GAAAGUAAAUAAGGGCACACGGAGGAUGCCUAGGCUCUCAGAGGCGAAGAAGGACGUGAUAAGCUGCGAUAAGCUGCGGGUAUCGGCACAUACGAAUAGAUCCGCAGAUUUCCGAAUGGGGAAACCUGGCAUACUGAAGGUAUGCCGCACAAGCGCAAACCUGCUGAACUGAAACAUCUAAGUAGGCAGAGGAGGAGAAAAUAACAAUGAUUUCCAGAGUAGUGGCGAGCGAAAUGGAAAGAGCCCAAACCUUUAAUGUUACGGCAUUAAGGGGGUUGUAGGACCACAACAUAGGGAUAGGGAUGAAGCAGAACGGGAUGGGAAACCCGGCCAUAGCGUGUGACAGCCACGUAUGCGUAAAGAACUAUUCCUUAGUGGGAUCCUGAGUACCGCGGGGUCGGAGACGCCCUGUGGGAAUCUGCCAGCACCAUCUGGUAAGGCUAAAUACUCCUGAGAGACCGAUAGUGGACCAGUACCGUGAGGGAAAGGUGAAAAGAACCGUGAAUAACGGAGUGAAAUAGAACCUGAAACCGUGUGCCUACAAGCGGUCGGAGUCCCAUUGGGAUGACGGCGUGCCUUUUGCAUAAUGAGCCUACGAGUUGCUCUUCCCUGGCAAGGUUAAGUCUUUAAGGGACGGAGCCGAAGCGAAAGCGAGUCUGAAUAGGGCGUAUAGUCAGGGGAGGCAGACGCGAAACCUUGUGAUCUACCCUUGGGCAGGUUGAAGGUGCGGUAACACGUACUGGAGGACCGAACCGAUAAACGUUGAAAAGUUUCCGGAUGACCUGAGGGUAGGGGUGAAAGGCUAAUCAAACUGGGAAAUAGCUCGUACUCCCCGAAAUGUUUUUAGGAACAGCGUGGCGGUUUAGUCUGUCAGAGGUAGAGCUACCGAUUGGGUGCGGGGGAGUCAAAUCCUACCAAAUCCAGACGAACUCCGAAUGCUGAAUAGAUAUACGCUGCAGUGAGGCGCGGGGUGCUAAGGUCACGCGCCGAGAGGGAAAGAACCCAGACCAUCGGCUAAGGUCCCCAAGUGUACGCUAAGUUGAACUAACGAGGUCCGAUUGCAUAGACAGCUAGGAUGUUGGCUUGGAAGCAGCCAUUCAUUUAAAGAGUGCGUAACAGCUCACUAGUCGAGCGAUCGGGCAUGGAUAAUAAACGGGCAUCAAGUGUACCACCGAAGCUGUGGGAUUGAAAUAUAUCGGUAGGGGAGCAUUCCAUGUGCGGCGAAGGUAUCUGGUAAUGGGUGCUGGAGCGCAUGGAAAAGCAAAUGUAGGCAUAAGUAACGAUAAGGCGGGAGAGAAACCCGCCCACCGAAAGGAUAAGGUUUCCUGAUCAACGCUAAUCGGAUCAGGGUUAGUCGGGUCCUAAGGAUAACCCGAACGGGGAUUCCGAUGGACAACUGGUUAAUAUUCCAGUACUUUUGUUAGCUGCGAUGGGGCGACGGAGUAGUGACACUGCCGCGAACUGACGGAAUAGUUCGUUGAAGAGCGUAGGUAUAGGGCCUGUAGGAAAAUCCGCAGGUCUUGCUGAAACUUGAUAGUACCGGGCGGCUUCGGCCAACUGGAUAGCGCAGGUAAUCAGACUUCCAAGAAAACCCCCUAAGCUUCAGGCUAACAGAACCCGUACCGCAAACCGACACAGGUAUCCGGGAAGAGAAUUCUAAGGUGCUCGAGUGAAUCAUGGCUAAGGAACUCGGCAAAAUGGCCCUGUAACUUCGGGAGAAGGGGCGCUGGAGCGAUCCAGCCGCAGUGAAAAGGCCCAGGCGACUGUUUAACAAAAACACAUGGCUUUGCAAAAUCGCAAGAUGAGGUAUAAGGCCUGACACCUGCCCGGUGCUGGAAGGUUAAGAGGGGAUGUCAUCGUAAGAGAAGCAUUGAAUCGAAGCCCCAGUAAACGGCGGCCGUAACUAUAACGGUCCUAAGGUAGCGAAAUUCCUUGUCGGGUAAGUUCCGACCUGCACGAAUGGUGUAACGAUCUGGGCGCUGU
This 1983-nucleotide ribosomal RNA is filed under the name feces metagenome. RNAcentral describes it as "bacterial LSU rRNA". It matches the Rfam family "Bacterial large subunit ribosomal RNA", at positions 1 to 2019 of the family's 2925-position model. The record is from RNAcentral.